GGCCGCGGGAAUUCGAUUCAGGCCUAACACAUGCAAGUCGAGCGAACCCUUCGGGGUGAGCGGCGGACGGGUGAGUAACGCGUGGGUAACCUGCCCUGUACACACGGAUAACAUACCGAAAGGUAUGCUAAUACGAGAUAAUAUAUUUUAGUCGCAUGGCUAAGAUAUCAAAGCUCCGGCGGUACAGGAUGGACCCGCGUCUGAUUAGCUAGUUGGUGAGGUAAUGGCUCACCAAGGCGACGAUCAGUAGCCGACCUGAGAGGGUGAUCGGCCACACUGGAACUGAGACACGGUCCAGACUCCUACGGGAGGCAGCAGUGGGGAAUAUUGCACAAGGGGCGAAAGCCUGAUGCAGCAACGCCGCGUGAGCGAUAAGGGCCUUCGGGUCGUAAAGCUCUGUCCUCAAAGAAGAUAAUGAC
Molecule: ribosomal RNA, 419 nt
Filed under: uncultured bacterium
Lineage: Bacteria
Description: bacterial SSU rRNA
Rfam family: Bacterial small subunit ribosomal RNA
Source: RNAcentral